CACUAACACCCAUGAGAGCAGUAAGCACUCCUGGCCUAAAAGAUCCACUCACUCCCUUAAGAAGUUCUAGCCGGUCUUCCACAAUACCUUGCGCUUUCAUUUCCUAGUAUCGUAUUUCAUCAAAGGUGAUAGAAAGAGGUGUAAAGGGAAGGACCAUCCCUUUUUGGCUCUGGUUAGAAUCAGCCACAACAUGUCUAGAGCCUGCUGUGCUAUUUCUUUCCUGAGCUAUGCUACCUAGUGGAAUUAUGGAAUAAAGGGUUAGCAAAAACCUUCAAGAAAUGCCAAUGGAAAUCUUUGCAUCAAAGUAGGUUUCUUCAGACAUUGCUGGCUGAGAUUUUCCAAAUGCUGCAAACAUUGAACAGAUUGCUCAGAAUAGAAGUUUGAUGCUUGAAAUGGUCAAAAUAUUUCAGAAAUUCAAAUGGAGAGUUUUACUCACGCUGGAGAUAGGUGAGCGCCCCAGUGAAAAGAAUGUUGAACAAGAAGACAUAUCCGAUCAGUGCAGCCAGACCAAUCCAGUACCAUUUCGCCUCAGGAAAUACUCCACGAGACUCCAAGACACUUAUUCCUAGCGGCUCCGUUGAUCCAGGAGAAAUCUGUUACAAUUUUGAAUGAGAGAUGGCUAUCAGAAAUACCUCUUGAAAUGAUGAAUCCACCCAGCACCAUUAGCACAAGGAGUGCAAAAGAUCCAAAAGUAUUGGCAACAAUCAUGUUCCUACCUAGCGCUGCAAUGAACCGAAAUAAAGCAGAUGCC
Dioscorea cayenensis subsp. rotundata (Guinea yam) is the source of this 751-nucleotide long non-coding RNA. RefSeq lists it as uncharacterized. The record is from RefSeq and is a predicted model, not a curated record. The transcript has 4 exons. NCBI's taxonomy places the organism in Eukaryota, Viridiplantae, Streptophyta, Magnoliopsida, Dioscoreales, Dioscoreaceae.